GUGUCAGCAGCCGCGGUAAUACGGAGGAUGCAAGCGUUAUCCGGAAUCAUUGGGUUUAAAGGGUCCGUAGGCGGCCAAAUAAGUCAGUGGUGAAAGCCCAUCGCUCAACGAUGGAACGGCCAUUGAUACUGUUUGGCUUGAAUUAUUAGGAAGUAACUAGAAUAUGUAGUGUAGCGGUGAAAUGCUUAGAGAUUACAUGGAAUACCAAUUGCGAAGGCAGGUUACUACUAAUAUAUUGACGCUGAUGGACGAAAGCGUGGGGAGCGAACAGGAUUAGAAACCCCGGUAGUCC
RNAcentral lists this ribosomal RNA (292 nucleotides) under uncultured Flavobacterium sp. Its description in RNAcentral is "partial 16S ribosomal RNA". It matches the Rfam family "Bacterial small subunit ribosomal RNA", at positions 505 to 796 of the family's 1533-position model. The record is from RNAcentral. Lineage: Bacteria; Pseudomonadati; Bacteroidota; Flavobacteriia; Flavobacteriales; Flavobacteriaceae.